UUUGGAGGGCAAGUCUGGUGCCAGCAGCCGCGGUAAUUCCAGCUCCAAUAGCGUAUAUUAAAGUUGUUGCAGUUAAAAAGCUCGUAGUUGAAUUUCGGGACCGGUGGGUUGGUCGUGCCUCCGGUACGUACUGGUCUUACUGGUUCCUCCCUUCUGAAGAAUCACGAUGUCAUUAAUUUGGUGUCGUGGGGAAUCAGGACUGUUACUUUGAAAAAAUUAGAGUGUUUAAAGCAGGCUAAAGCUUGAAUAGAUUAGCAUGGAAUAACGAAAUAGGACGUUUGAUCUUAUUUUGUUGGUUUCUAAGAUCGACGUAAUGAUUAAUAGGGAUAGUUGGGGGCAUUAGUAUUCAAUUGUCAGAGGUGAAAUUCUUGGAUUUAUUGAAGACUAACUAYUGCGAAAGCAUUUGCCAAGGAUGUUUUCAUUAAUCAAGAACGAAAGUUAGGGGAUCGAAGAWGAUCAGAUACCGUCGUAGUCUUAACCAUAAACUAUGCCGACUAGGGAUCGGAUGAUGUUAAUUUUUUAAUGACUCAUUCGGCGCCUUACGGGAAAC
This 550-nucleotide ribosomal RNA is filed under the name uncultured Glomeromycotina. RNAcentral's name for it is "SSU rRNA". It matches the Rfam family "Eukaryotic small subunit ribosomal RNA", at positions 549 to 1109 of the family's 1831-position model. Lineage: Eukaryota; Fungi; Glomeromycota. The record is from RNAcentral.